AUUGAACGCUGGCGGAAUGCUUUACACAUGCAAGUCGAACGGUAGAGGGGGCAACCCCUUGAGAGUGGCGAACGGGUGAGUAAUAUAUCGGAACGUGCCCAGUCGUGGGGGAUAACGUAUCGAAAGUUACGCUAAUACCGCAUACGAUCUAAGGAUGAAAGCGGGGGAUCGCAAGACCUCGCGCGACUGGAGCGGCCGAUAUCAGAUUAGGUAGUUGGUGGGGUAAAGGCUCACCAAGCCAACGAUCUGUAGCUGGUCUGAGAGGACGACCAGCCACACUGGAACUGAGACACGGUCCACACUCCUACGGGAGGCAGCAGUGGGGAAUUUUGGACAAUGGACGCAAGUCUGAUCCAGCCAUUCCGCGUGCAGGAUGAAGGCCCUCGGGUUGUAAACUGCUUUUGUACGGAACGAAAAGGUCUCUCCUAAUACGAGAGGCUCAUGACGGUACCGUAAGAAUAAGCACCGGCUAACUACGUGCCAGCAGCCGCGGUAAUACGUAGGGUGCAAGCGUUAAUCGGAAUUACUGGGCGUAAAGCGUGCGCAGGCGGUUAUAUAAGACAGAUGUGAAAUCCCCGGGCUCAACCUGGGAACUGCAUUUGUGACUGUAUAGCUAGAGUACGGUAGAGGGGGAUGGAAUUCCGCGUGUAGCAGUGAAAUGCGUAGAUAUGCGGAGGAACACCGAUGGCGAAUGCAAUCCCCUGGACCUGUACUGACGCUCAUGCACGAAAGCGUGGGGAGCAAACAGGAUUAGAUACCCUGGUAGUCCACGCCCUAAACGAUGUCAACUGGCUGUUGGGUCCUAACUGACUCAGUAACGAAGCUAACGCGUGAAGUUGACCGCCAGGGGAGUACCGCCAGCUAAGGUUGAAACUCAAUACGAANUGACGGGGACC
Molecule: ribosomal RNA, 896 nt
Filed under: uncultured bacterium
Lineage: Bacteria
Description: bacterial SSU rRNA
Rfam family: Bacterial small subunit ribosomal RNA
Source: RNAcentral